RNAcentral lists this ribosomal RNA (447 nucleotides) under uncultured bacterium. RNAcentral's name for it is "bacterial SSU rRNA". It matches the Rfam family "Bacterial small subunit ribosomal RNA", at positions 29 to 523 of the family's 1533-position model. The record is from RNAcentral.
AACGAACGCUGGCGGCAGGCCUAACACAUGCAAGUCGAACGCUCCGCAAGGAGAGUGGCAGACGGGUGAGUAACACGUGGGAAUCUUCCUGUUGGUUCGGAAUAGCUCAGGGAAACUUGGGGUAAUACCGGAUAAGCCCGAGAGGGGAAAGAUUUAUCGCCGACAGAUGAGCCCGCGUCUGAUUAGCUAGUUGGUGAGGUAAUGGCUCACCAAGGCGACGAUCAGUAGCNGGUCUGAGAGGAUGACCAGCCACACUGGGACUGAGACACGGCCCAGACUCCUACGGGAGGCAGCAGUGGGGAAUAUUGGACAAUGGGCGCAAGCCUGAUCCAGCCAUGCCGCGUGAGUGACGAAGGUCUUCGGAUUGUAAAGCUCUUUUGCCAGGGACGAUAAUGACGGUACCUGGAGAAUAAGCCCCGGCUAACUUCGUGCCAGCAGCCGCCGUAA